Molecule: ribosomal RNA, 482 nt
Filed under: uncultured microorganism
Description: bacterial SSU rRNA
Rfam family: Bacterial small subunit ribosomal RNA
Source: RNAcentral
GAGUUUGAUCGUGGCUCAGAUUGAACGCUGGCGGCAUGCCUUACACAUGCAAGUCGAACGGUAACAGGUCUUCGGACGCUGACGAGUGGCGAACGGGUGAGUAAUACAUCGGAACGUGCCCAGUCGUGGGGGAUAACUACUCGAAAGAGUAGCUAAUACCGCAUACGAUCUGAGGAUGAAAGCGGGGGACCUUCGGGCCUCGCGCGAUUGGAGCGGCCGAUGGCAGAUUAGGUAGCUGGUGGGAUAAAAGCUUACCAAGCCGACGAUCUGUAGCUGGUCUGAGAGGACGACCAGCCACACUGGGACUGAGACACGGCCCAGACUCCUACGGGAGGCAGCAGUGGGGAAUUUUGGACAAUGGGCGAAAGCCUGAUCCAGCAAUGCCGCGUGCAGGAUGAAGGCCUUCGGUUGUAACUGCUUUGUUACGGAACGAAAAGACUUCUCUAACUACGAGAGGCCACUGACGGUACCGUAAGAAUAAG